GUCGCGAUGCCAGAGUGGUUAUUGGGUAUGACUAGAAUCGGCUUAGUACGAGAUCAUAUGGCUUCGGCCGCAGAGGUUCGAAUCCUCUUCGCGACG
This 96-nucleotide transfer RNA is filed under the name Xylona heveae TC161. It matches the Rfam family "tRNA". Rfam says of the family: Transfer RNA (tRNA) molecules are approximately 80 nucleotides in length. Their secondary structure includes four short double-helical elements and three loops (D, anti-codon, and T loops). Lineage: Eukaryota; Fungi; Ascomycota; Xylonomycetes; Xylonales; Xylonaceae. The record is from Rfam by way of RNAcentral.